This 1063-nucleotide ribosomal RNA is filed under the name Haliphthoros sp. NJM 0034. RNAcentral describes it as "eukaryotic LSU rRNA". It matches the Rfam family "Eukaryotic large subunit ribosomal RNA", at positions 86 to 947 of the family's 3401-position model. The record is from RNAcentral. Lineage: Eukaryota; Oomycota; Peronosporomycetes; Pythiales; Haliphthoraceae.
ACGGCGAGUGAAGCGGGAAAAGCUCAAGCUUAAAAUCUCCAUAACUUUUAGUUGUGGCGAAUUGUAGUCUAAUGAAGCUGUUGUCAGCAUCGUUAUCUGGGUCAAGUCCCUUGGAAGAGGGCAGCAUAGAGGGUGAUACUCCCGUCUUUCCCUGGAUAAUGUUUGUGUACGACACGCUUUCUUUGAGUCGAGUUGCUUGGGAAUGCAGCUCAAAGUAGGUGGUAAAUUCCAUCUAAAGCUAAAUAUAGGUGCGAGACCGAUAGCGAACAAGUACCGUGAGGGAAAGAUGAAAAGAACUUUGAAAAGAGAGUUAAAGAGUACCUGAAACUGCUGAAAGGGAAUCGGAUCGUUUCCAGUGUUUUUAAUCCUUGGUAUAUUCCAGUGGGGAAUGGUGUUGUUGAUAUGUUUUGGUAUCAGUUUAUUCUGUGCCGGAUGUGUUGAUGAUGUUGUUUGCUGCUGCACUGUGCCUUGGUGUGACGUCAUAGUCAGUUUGUAUCUCGUGGGAAAUGAUCAUUGAGGAGGUAGUCUAGCAUUUAUGUUAGAUGUUAUAUCUUGGUGAUUAGUAGUCAUGGGUGAGACUGAGGGACCUACAACAUGCAAUAAGGGUAUUGAUGGGAUCUUGUUUGACAUAAUUUUAGGACAGCUUGUCUGUGCUUGAGUUUUUGUUGGAUAACUUUUCUGUUGACAACCUUCGCUGUUCGGGACUUUGGCGAAAUGGAACGAUCCGUCCCGUCUUGAAACACGGACCAAGGAGUCUAACAUGUGUGCAAGUAUUAGGGUGGCAAACCCAAAUGCGCAAUGAAAGUAAAUAGUAGCUUUUAGUUACUUGAGGUAGGAAAGAGUUGUCAUUUUACGAUGAUGAUUCUGGCACUAUCGACCAAUCAUGAGCCUACGUGGCGAAAGAUUUGAGUAUGAGCAUAUAUGUUGGUACCCGAAAGAUGGUGAACUAUGCCUGAAUAGGGUGAAGCCAGGGGAAACUCUGGUGGAAGCUCGUAGCGAUUCUGACGUGCAAAUCGAUCGUCAAAUUUGGGUAUAGGGGCGAAAGACUAAUCGAACCAUCUAG